CCUAUUUUUAUAAUCUGCUCAUGAAAUUUUAAUAGCCGCAAUCGUGCUAAGGUAGCAUAAUCAUUUGUCUUUUAAUUAAAGACUAGAACAAAAGAUUUAACAUUUAAAUACAUUUCUUUAAUUUAUUAAUUAAAAUUAUUAUUAAUGUAAAAAAACAUUAAUAAAUAAAAUAGACGAUAAGACCCUAUAGAACUUUACUUAAGUUUAACUGGGGCAGUUAAUUAUUUAUUAUUAUAAUUUAAAAUAAUCUAAAAAUGACCUAAUAUAAUUAAUUAUUUGACCAAGUUACCUUAGGGAUAACAGUGUAAUAUUAUUUUAAAGAUCUUAUUAAAAAUAAUGAUUGCAACCUCGAUGUUGACUUAAUGACCUAAACUAACGCAAUAGUUAUUAAAGGAAGUCUGUUCGACUUUUAAACAAUUACAUGAUCUGAGUUCAAACCGGA
Molecule: ribosomal RNA, 442 nt
Filed under: Xysticus ephippiatus
Lineage: Eukaryota; Metazoa; Arthropoda; Arachnida; Araneae; Thomisidae
Description: partial 16S ribosomal RNA
Rfam family: Archaeal large subunit ribosomal RNA (bases 173-442)
Source: RNAcentral